CCCACCCCCUCAACCAACCCCCCCCACCUCCUCCUCUUUUUUUUUUUUUUUUUCCCCUUUUCCUUGCUAUAUUCCCUAUUUAUUUUUUUAACCAAAAAAAAAAAAAAAAAAAAAAAAAAAAGAAGAGAGAGAGAGAGAGAAAAAAAAAAAAAAGAAAGAGAGAGAGAGAGAGAUGUUUUAAAAAUGCAAGCGGCUUGCCCAGCUGCACACACCCGCCCUCCCUCGGCCGCCUCCCUCCCUCCCUGCGCACACACCGCACGCUCGCACCCGCUCGGGUGUCAAACCCCGCCGGGCACCCAGCCUGGUGCGGGCACUGCCCCGGCCCCCCCGGCCCUUCCCAGCGCCGCCGACCGGAGCCUCCCCCGCUUCCAAAUGCUCUUCCCACACUGCAGUCAAUGAAUCUCUAAUCUCCUGGACUGAAAUGUCUGACACUUCCAGAAUCCUUUAUUUGCUGCCUCGACUCGCAGAGCUCCACCUACAGCAGCGCUCAGCAGUGGGCUGGUGGUGAAUCUGAUGGAAAUGUCUGGUGGUAUUGGGGUGGGAGGGAGGGAUGGAAGGACAAGCAGGGGCUCUGCUGUGCCUCUCACACCACCCUUGCAGCCAGGGCUGUCCCCACCAGCAGCUGCUGAAGGACCUGAGGGACCAGGAGUGGAUGAGCUCUGCCUGAGUCGAUUCCUGGCUGCUGAAUAAAUUGAGUUUAUUCCACGGCUGCUCCCGACCCAAGCCAGGUGCUCUGGGCUGUUGCAUCCCUCUGGAAGGUGGACAGGAGGGCAAGGAGGAGAAGCUCAGCCCCUGAGAGAAGUCUGCUCCAAGAAGCUGAGCUUUCCCUGGAAGCUGUUUUUGGUGCACCCUUCCCACUCGCCUGCCCUGCUGGCAGCUCCACUCUGAGGAUGAAUUAUGCCAGAAAUGCUGUGAGGCACCAGAAACGCUGAGGAUGGAGAAGAGUCCUCUCAGUGAACUUAUUUGUGGAUAAAGUCACUCUCACCUGGAUUGCAGCUCCUCCAGAGCAGGCCACGAGCUGUGGGAAGGAUCACAACUUCACCAGGGGACUUUGGGUUGCCUUUGGUGUGCUUGUAUCAUGUGUGAACAUGCAGAGAGCUUGGUUUUCCACCAGGAACCCAGUAAAUGGCACCUCUGUCAAUCA
Long non-coding RNA from Haemorhous mexicanus (house finch), 1144 nucleotides. RefSeq lists it as uncharacterized. The record is from RefSeq and is a predicted model, not a curated record. The transcript has 2 exons. NCBI's taxonomy places the organism in Eukaryota, Metazoa, Chordata, Aves, Passeriformes, Fringillidae.